RNAcentral lists this ribosomal RNA (253 nucleotides) under uncultured bacterium. Its description in RNAcentral is "partial 16S ribosomal RNA". It matches the Rfam family "Bacterial small subunit ribosomal RNA", at positions 524 to 776 of the family's 1533-position model. The record is from RNAcentral.
CACGUAGGGCGCAAGCGUUGUCCGGAAUUAUUGGGCGUAAAGAGCUCGUAGGUGGUUUGUUACGUCUGCUGUGAAAACCUAGGGCUUAACCCUGGGCUUGCAGUGGAUACGGGCAGACUAGAGGUAGGUAGGGGAGAAUGGAAUUCCUGGUGUAGCGGUGAAAUGCGCAGAUAUCAGGAGGAACACCGGUGGCGAAGGCGGCGUCCUGGACCAACACUGACACUGAGGAGCGAAAGCCAGGGGAGCAAACGGG